AAUGGUAUCUCAUUAGGUUCAUGCCCUAAAGAUUAAAGGUUCAAAUCCUUUUCC
Molecule: transfer RNA, 54 nt
Filed under: Mucochytrium quahogii
Lineage: Eukaryota; Bigyra; Thraustochytrida; Thraustochytriidae
Description: labyrinthulid quahog parasite QPX partial tRNA
Rfam family: tRNA
About the family: Transfer RNA (tRNA) molecules are approximately 80 nucleotides in length. Their secondary structure includes four short double-helical elements and three loops (D, anti-codon, and T loops).
Source: RNAcentral